GCCUAAGAUUUAACGUUGAACACCAGACAGUCCUACACCAGCAUAUGCACUGGAGGUAGAAUCGGCUGGAGAGGAGGAAACUCAAGGCUUGAUCACUGACUGGCCACUGACUGCUUCAAAACAGAGGAGGCCUGAGAAGAUCCUUUGACAAAGUUGCCAACAAUUCAACACAGAUUAUGAAAAAUAGUGGUGGACUAGAGUGGCCUGCGAAGAACUGGAGCCUAAGAUUUAACGUCGAGCACUAGACAGUCCUACACCAGCAUAGACACUGGAGGUAGAAUCGGCUGGAGAGGAGGAAACUCAAGGCUUGAUCACUGACUGGCCACUGACUGCUUCAAAACAGAGGAGGUCUGAGAAGGUCUGGAUCCUCUAGAUUUGCCCUCAGAACCACCAGAAAAUCUGAUACUAUGUAGAAGCCCUCGGGAUAGAAGGCUGCUGUACAGAAAUCCGAAGACUUGGUCGUGUGGAUACUAACUUCUUUGAAAAGAUGGUUCUAGAUUAGUGGGUGCCUUAGGCCUCAAUUCAUUUUUUUUCCAUAGUUUUGGUACUGGGAUAAAAUUCUAGCCUUUACUAAUAUAUCUAAUUUGCUAAUAUAUCCUAAUUUGCUAUUGAUAGCAAAUGGAAACCAAAUGGUAAAUUCUUAGAUAAACUCACUCUUUUUCAGAUUGAGGAAAAAAGGUUCUUUUGGGAUUUUUUUUUCUCUCAACUUGGCAGGACUGGAGCAGAGUCAACUUGAAGCUUAUGGAGCAAUCCUGCCAUCCUGCGGACAAGUUUCACAAACCCCCUCAGAUACAUUAUUCCAUGCAAGUCUCUAGAAGUUCCUAGGAAGGCUGAAGCUAUGGGAACUGAUCCCAGACUCCACAAAUCUUUACAAUAUUUUCCUCUAUGAGUACCACGAAGCCUUAUGCACUAGUGUAGUCAGUCUUGACGUGUAACCUAGUGACAACGUGACCAGAACCAAGUGCACAGUUGCCUAGACAUGUAGGCAGAGGCUUUGGAGGGAGUGGAAAUUCAGGUGUUUUUUUUUAGAUUAAAAAAGUUUG
Long non-coding RNA from Microtus oregoni (creeping vole), 1043 nucleotides. RefSeq lists it as uncharacterized. Lineage: Eukaryota; Metazoa; Chordata; Mammalia; Rodentia; Cricetidae. The record is from RefSeq and is a predicted model, not a curated record. The transcript has 4 exons.